RNAcentral lists this ribosomal RNA (253 nucleotides) under uncultured bacterium. Its description in RNAcentral is "partial 16S ribosomal RNA". It matches the Rfam family "Bacterial small subunit ribosomal RNA", at positions 524 to 776 of the family's 1533-position model. The record is from RNAcentral.
UACGUAGGGGGCAAGCGUUGUCCGGACUUACUGGGCGUAAAGCGUGUGCAGGCGGGCCGCUAUGUGCCGUGUGAAAUCCCUCGGCUCAACUGAGGAAUUGCACGGGAAACUGACGGGCUUGAGUUCGGGAGAGGGAAGCGGAAUUCCGGGUGUAGCGGUGAAAUGCGUAGAUAUCCGGAGGAACACCGGUGGCGAAGGCGGCUUCCUGGACCGACACUGACGCUGAGGCGCGAAAGCUAGGGGAGCAAACGGG